RNAcentral lists this ribosomal RNA (218 nucleotides) under uncultured bacterium. RNAcentral's name for it is "partial 16S ribosomal RNA". It matches the Rfam family "Bacterial small subunit ribosomal RNA", at positions 335 to 545 of the family's 1533-position model. The record is from RNAcentral.
ACUCCUACGGGAGGCAGCAGUGGGGAAUAUUGGACAAUGGGCGCAAGCCUGAUCCAGCCAUGCCGCGUGGGUGAAGAAGGCCUUCGGGUUGUAAAGCCCUUUUGUCCGGAAAGAAAAGCUUCGGGCUAAUACCCCGGGGUCCUGACGGUACCGGAAGAAUAAGCACCGGCUAACUUCGUGCCAGCAGCCGCGGUAAUACGAAGGGUGCAAGCGUUACU